RNAcentral lists this unclassified non-coding RNA (385 nucleotides) under uncultured bacterium. RNAcentral describes it as "contains 16S-23S intergenic spacer region". The record is from RNAcentral.
UCCGGUUUGGCACCGGCAGUCCCCCGAGAGUCCUCAGCGCCUUGCGGCCUGUUAGCAACACGGGGCGAGGGUUGCGCUCGUUGCGGGACUUAACCCAACACCUCACGGCACGAGCUGACGACAGCCAUGCAGCACCUGAACCAGUGGUCCCCGAAAGGAAAGUCCUAUUUCUAGGACGGUCCACUGUUGUCUAGUCCAGGUAAGGUUCUUCGCGUUGCGUCGAAUUGAACCACAUGCUCCACCGCUUGUGCGGGCCCCCGUCAAUUCCUUUGAGUUUCAGCCUUGCGGCCGUACUCCCCAGGCGGGGCACUUCAUGCGUUAGCGCCGGUACCCCGGGGGUCGCUCUCCAGAGCACCUAGUGCCCAUCGUUUACGGCGUGGACUAC